CAUUGUUUAUGUUUAAUACUAGGACGGUAGCUAACGGACAUCGAACAACUAUCUUUCGUUCUUGAUGAAAGAAGACAUCUUUGGCAAAUG
This 90-nucleotide ribosomal RNA is filed under the name uncultured dinoflagellate. RNAcentral describes it as "partial 18S rRNA". The record is from RNAcentral. Lineage: Eukaryota; Dinophyceae.